This 90-nucleotide transfer RNA is filed under the name Streptomyces asoensis. Its description in RNAcentral is "tRNA-Gly". The record is from RNAcentral. Lineage: Bacteria; Bacillati; Actinomycetota; Actinomycetes; Kitasatosporales; Streptomycetaceae.
CGCCGUCCUGGCGGAGGAGGAGACGUCCGCGGUCUGCCGGGCCGCCGACCGCUGGUCGCACGACGGGCGUCCGGCCCGCCGGGCCGCGGC